UGCCUUUCUCACGUGACUUUUGACUGGACCGCAUAAUUCGCCUCAAAACUCACACCGGCGGUUUUUCUCCUCUUCCGUCACCAUGGGCUGUUAAUUAAAGUCUCCUCUCUUCUACUCAAUCGAGAUCUGUGAAGCCCUAAUUAUUCUCCAUGUCUGCUCAAUGCUUCCAUUAACAGAUUACAGGUCAAGGAUGAAGUAGUAGGUUACAACUUACAAGUAGUAGAAGCAAGGAUACAAGAUUGAUUUUCAAAGGAUUCACCACCAAAAGCUCCGGUCGACAAAUGCAACAACAACAGCUUUAAAGUCCUCUUCCAGAGUUGGUAGCUUUAUACUCAUCUAUGGAUGGAAUGAAGAUAAUGAUGUUGACAAGGUGAUUAUCUAAAACGUAAAAGUUCCGAUCAAUUUCCAGGAAGAUAAUCCACCUAAACAAGCAGACACGAUCGCCGGUAAAAUUAUUUUGAAUAAAAAGCCCUCGACGCCAAUGACUUGAUCGAGGGAAGAGUCAUUAGGAAACGGGUCCCUUUUGGCAGCAAAGACAGAUGUUGCUCUAUGUUUUUCGACUAACAUGAACAAAUGGGUCAAAACUGAUCCACUGCUGGGUUUCAGUUUGUUUUUUUUGGCAUGAAAAUUUAGCUAUAUAUAUCAUAAGGGUAACACUUCUUAACGCUCAACUGUUAUGCUAAAAUAUUUGAUGCUAUAAACUCGGGUUAUUUAAGUUUUGACGUCGCCGCAACGCGCGACGGGACAAAAUACUAGU
RNAcentral lists this long non-coding RNA (757 nucleotides) under Helianthus annuus (common sunflower). RNAcentral's name for it is "hypothetical non coding rna". Lineage: Eukaryota; Viridiplantae; Streptophyta; Magnoliopsida; Asterales; Asteraceae. The record is from RNAcentral.